Long non-coding RNA from Xiphophorus couchianus (Monterrey platyfish), 2132 nucleotides. RefSeq lists it as uncharacterized. The record is from RefSeq and is a predicted model, not a curated record. The transcript is spliced from 2 exons. NCBI's taxonomy places the organism in Eukaryota, Metazoa, Chordata, Actinopteri, Cyprinodontiformes, Poeciliidae.
GGAGGGGCUAAGCAUCCCUACGCUCACCACCAUUUUGUGUGGGUACCUGGCUUUCUUUUUACCCUCUCCUCCCUGCCAUUCUAUGUGUGAGGCGCAUAUGGUUAAGUGAAAUUGCUGUCUGCGAGAGGAUGCCUCUGCCUGUCCAGACUUCAUCAGAAGGAUUAAAGAAAGGGAUGAAAAAAAAAUCAAAAUAAAAUGAUGAUAGCGGGGCUGUGGCUUUUUUUUUUUCCUUUUUCUUUUUUUUCCCCACCCUGUACCCCUCAUAUCUGCCCCCACCCCCUACCUCCACCCCUGAUAGCUCUGGUAUAAGCAGAGUGGAACAUCAGAUGACAGAGAAGGAUCUCUUGCUGGGGUGCAGUGGGUUUGCAGGGAAGGGUUUCCCGGUUUGUGAGCUUCGGUAAGUUUAUUUGGCUCUGACAAGGUCUCACUACAAAGGAAAGCCAAAUUACAGGCAGUGGUGUUCCUCCCUGCAUCCAACGAGGGAAGUAUAGGGAAAAACCUGCAUCCAAUUAAAAGAAAAGUGACUCAGCAGUGGGGCAGCAGCCUUCUUUUACGACUACUUAGCUAUCUCACUCUCUCUGAUGUGCUCACACAAACAAACAAAAGACCAAAUGUGAAGCAUUAUAGGAGCAGAGAGGUGGGAACAUGCGUGCUGAGGUGGUCUGUUAGAUUCGCAGCAAUGGGGAUUUUAGGAAAAAUGAAAGAAGAGAGUGGAAAGAUUGCAGGAUAUUAAGGAGUAAUGGAUGUCACAGCAGGCCUCUGUAACAAAUUUUCACAUGCUUUCAUCAUUGCUCGAUGAGACUGAUCAAGGGAACAGGACAUUACUUGGUUUCCAAGUGCUGUUAUUACCCAGGAAGAGUAAAUAGUUAUUGCUGUGUUUAUCAUUCUGAAAGAUUGCAGAGCAAGCAGGCAAGCACAUCUCCUUUUUAAUAUAUUCAAUCAUCAAAUAAAUCCAAGUUUAUGUGGAAACUUUUAGAAAUAAAGUUAUUGUAAUGAUAUGCAACAUUACUCUGAACCUCAGUGAUGUAGCUUAUAAACUGGUUUUAACUGGCUUUGAAUAGCAGGAGGAAAAAUCUCAGCUGUAUGUCAACGUAAGUUUGAACUGACCAAAAGCUAAGAAACAAAGAAAUCCUGAGAGGACUGAAAAUCAACAUGGAGAAAAGAUCUGAGUCAGACACGAACAUGGGGAAGGUUUCGCGGCGAUUUGACUAAAUUCAAGUAAAUAGUGAUGUAUAUUGUGAGGUUUUUUUUACUGGGAUUUGCCAGAUACCAGAUCCAUCCCUGUAUUUGAGACAACAAAAAGUCAGCCCUGACAUUUUGCCCAGCCAGCAGAUAAUAUUUGCUGUUCGGAGACUCUCUUUCUUUUGUUCCAGCUUUUUAUAAACCCAAGACACUUGAAAUUUAAACCAAGUUCAGGAAAUAUUAUUCGCCACGGGGCAAGGUAAAUCUCUUGGCGGGGCUUUUCAAAGGGCUGCCCUGGGUUUGUUUAAAAUUUAUCUUAUUUAAAAGUGUAUUUUUUUUUUUUGCUCCUUGCUUUAGCUUUCAAAGACAUAUGUUUUGCCUUGAUUGUAGAGGUCAAGCUAAUGACGAGUGUUAUCUUUGAGUUAUUUGAAUAUAGCACAAAGCUCAGAUAAACAUAUUUAUAUGUAGAAAAUAAAUACAAUUUUAACUGCAAUAGAUAUUUGCCUUCAUGUGAUUUACUGAAAUAUGAGUUGCAUUAUGGUAAAUAGGUGGAAAAAAAGGUUCCAAUCACAGCCCAAGUGUGUGCAGGCAAGCAUGUGAGUCUGUGCUGCAGUAAAAAGAAAAAGGCUUAUGAGCUGCAUAAAACGGCUGCUUCUCUCAUUGUUUAGGGAAGCAGCACAGAAUUUUUAUUCAGCCUUCUUCCUCUGAGAGCGCGACUGACCCACCAGCUGACCAAUCCACAUGAAGCUCAGGGGGUGGGGUGACAAGAGGAGGAAAAAGGAGGCUGAGAGCACCCCCGUUUCAGACCGAGAGGCAAACUCCAUCUUUCCGACAGUUAUUCUCUUUUAACAAAAUCAAUGGUGUAAGUGCAGCCAAUAAAUCAUUAUUCUGCUUUAUUCGGUACAUGAACCUGAACUUGUUUCAAUCCUGAUGGAAAAAAAAAAAAAAAA